AAUAAAGACUUACCUACUAAAAUAUCACCCGUUUCAACCCACUAUAAUGAAUAUAAUGUAGAAUUGUGUGUCCUUUAUUCAUUCACCAAGAGGUGUUUAUAUACAACAUCUUUAGCAUAACCUAGCUAGGAAAAGGAAAUACAUAGAUCGUCUAAAUCCCAACAAUAUAGGAAACUUUAUAUUUAUCCUAAUCCCAAUACUCCCCCUCAAGUUGGCAAUGACGGUGUCCGAAUGCCUAACUUGGACAAUAAGUAAUCAAAUGUAGGCGUAGGUAAUGCCUUGGUGAGGAGAUCCGCAGGUUGAUGCUUAGUAGAGAUAUGUUCUGUCGUGAGAAGCUUGGAUUGAACAGCAUCACGUACUGUAUGACAGUCAUUCUCAACGUGUUUUGUCCUUUCAUGGAAGACAGGGUUCUUGGCGAUGUAAAUGGCCGAUUGACUGUCACAAAACAUACGCAUUGGUUGAGGAUGAGAGAAACCAAAUUGAGCCAACAGGCGUUUAAGCCACUUUAGCUCACACGUAGUAUCAGCCAUAGACCGGUAUUCUGCUUCAGCAGAUGAACGCGAGACAGUACGCUGCUUCUUUGUCUUCCAAGAGACAAGAGAAUCACCGAGGAGAACCACAUAGGCACUCAAUGACCGGCGUGUAAUAGGACAGGCAGACCAAUCAGCAUCGCAGUAAGCAGUAAGCUGCAAAUCACACGAAGAGGAUAGCAUAAUACCCUGGUCCGGAGUCCCUUUCAAGUAACGUACAACCCUCAAGGCCGCCAGCCAAUGAUCUUCGCGAGGCCUUUGCAUAAACUGAGAAAGGAGAUGAACAAUAUAACUUAGCUCAGGCCGAGUAAACGUCAAAUAGAUGAGACGACCAACUAGGCGUCUAUAUUUGCCGGGAUCAGUAAGCCACGGGCUUUUAGACAAUGGAAGCUUGUGAUUAAGCUCCGUAGGGACAGGAGAUGGUUUAGCACCGAGGAGACCACAUUCUGCAACAAUGUCUAAAGCAUAUUUUCUCUGUGACACAAAAAUACCCUCAGGUCCUCUAGCAACUUCGAGACCAAGGAAGUACUUGAUUUUUCCCAAAUCUUUCAUCUUGAAGUGCUUGUUAAGGUAGGUUUUAAACCGCUGAAUCGUAGAAAUAUCGUUGCCUGCAAUAAUGAAGUCAUCGACAUAGACGAGUAUGUGAAGACAUAUAUUUCCUUGGAUAAGUGAGAAAAGAGAAUAGUCUUCAUAACUCUGAGUAAAACCAAAGGCAAGAAGUGUAGUACUGAGCUUUGAAAACCAACACCUAGGAGAUUGUUUCAAACCAUAGAGUGAUUUGCGAAGCCUGCAGACUUUGGAUGGAUCAGAAGAUCGGAAGCCUGGUGGUAAUUCCAUGUAGAUUUCCUCCUCUAAGUCCCCAUGUAAAAAUGCAUUGUGAACAUCCAUCUGAUGUACCUCCCAACGCUUUGCUGCUGCUAACUUAAGUAGAAAACGAACAGUAUUCAUCUUUGCGACAGGAGCAAAUGUAUCUUUGUAGUCUCGACCUUCCUUUUGUCUAUUUCCAUGCGCCACCAGUCGAGCUUUGGGUCGCUCUAUUGUACCAUCAGCUCGAUAUUUGUUGGAAUAAAGCCAUUGGCAGCUAAUGGCCUUCUUCCCCGGGGGUAAAGUAGUGACGUCCCAAGUAUGAUUGUCUUCUAAGGCAGUGACCUCGGUUUUCAUAGCACCUUUGAAGCGUUCAUCAAGGAUAGCUUCAUUAAAGGUUGCAGGAACAUAAUCCGAGGUGAUCUGAGCAAGAAAAGCCUGAUGUUUCUCUGAAAAAACAGAGGAAGACAAGUAGUCAGCGAUAGGAUACAGUGUCUUACCUGAGACCGGUGGAAGAGAACUCUGAUCAGAAGAAGAUAGAACGUGAGAGGGGUUUGUAGAUUCUGUAGUAUGAGCAACAAAAUUUUUGAGUAGAAUGGACGGCUUUUUAGCACGAUGACCACGACCAAGUACUUCCAAUAGACCUGGAGAUUUAGUGUGGUCAGGCUGUUCUGAUUCUGACGUUGAUGUCGUAGGUAACACAGCCUGAGUCGGAGAUGUAGUUGGAGACAAAGGCAGUGGAUCAGAAGGUAUAGAAGUAGGAGACGUCGAUGAAGGUAGAGUCUCAGUAGUAGGAGAAGCGUUUGUAGGAUUUUGAGUUGUUGUAGAUGGAAUGGACGAGUCUGUUGGCACAAGAGAGGGAAUAGGUGGCGAUGCUGGCGUGCUCCCCCUAGAUGUCACCGUCGGGAGUAGCCAAUCGUCUAUUACGUCCUCUUGCAUAACUGGUGGUGUAACAUACUCUGUAUCAGGAAGCCCUGGAAACUUGUCUUCGAAGAAAAGAACAUCGCGGCUUAUGAAGAAUUCAUUUGUUUCUGGAUCAUAGAGUCUCCAUGCUUUCUUGCCAAAGGGGUAACCAACAAACAAACACUUGCGACUCCUAGCCCCAAAUUUAUCUUUAUCUCGCGCACGCCUAUGUGCAUAUGCAAGACAUCCAAAAACGCGAAGUUGAUCAAAGACUGGAGGUUUACCGUGAAGCACUUCAUAUGGCGUUUUGCCAUCUAAAACUUUUGUAGGAGUACGGUUAAUAAGAUGAGCAGCUGCUAAAAUACUUUCUCCCCAAAACGUGGAAGGAAGGUGUGCUUGGAAGAGGCAAGCACGAGCCACAUUAAGUAUAUGCCUGUGUUUCCGUUCCACACGAGCAUUUUGUUGUGGUGUAUCAAUGCAAGAAGUUUGAUGUACAAUCCCCUGCUCCUGAAAAUAUUUCCGAAGGACUGUAAACUCUGUUCCAUUAUCCGUGCGAAUCAUUCGAACGGGACGUCCGAAUUGCCUUUCCGACAUGGCACAAAAGUUCUUAAGUAAAGUAGCAACUUCUGAUUUUUCAAGCAUCAAAUACGUCCAUACUGCGCGAGAGAAAUCAUCAACGAUGGUAAGAAAGUAUACGGCACCACAUGAUGCUGGUGUGCGAUAUGGUCCCCAAACAUCACAAUGAAUAAGUUCAAACGGUGCAGAAGCUUUAUUAAGGCUAUCGGGAAAAACCCGUCGAGUUUGCUUAGCUUGAAAACAAAUAUCACAUUGACUAGAAUCAGAAAAAUCUAUAAUAAGGGAUUUAAAAGCCGGUAAUGAAGAUAGAAUUUUGUAUGACGGAUGCCCAAGACGACGAUGCCACAGAACUGAAGAAUCUGAAGACUUUGUAGCCCCAUGAACUCGUGCAACUUUGACUCCCGUAAAGUAGUACACCCCCUCACGUUCUUCACCUGCUCCAAUCAGAGUCCUCGAAAAACGGUCCUGUAAAACACAUAAUGUAUCAGUAAAUAUCGCGAUACACCCCGUUUGCUUUAAUAAUUUGGAAACACUGAUGAGAGUGCAAUGAAAGUCGGGCACGUAUAGGACAUCAUGCAACAUGUAAUCUUUGCUAAGUCGCAAAGUUCCCUGUUUAGUGGCCGGAGAGUUACGACCAUUAGGGCAUAGAACUGAUGAAGUAGCUAUGUCAUGUACGUCAUGUAGUAGGGCGAGAUCGCCGGUCAUGUGGUGCGAUGCACCUGUGUCAAUAAUAACGUCAGUGAGUGUAGUUUUACCAGACAAACGUUCGGACGAGAGGUUGCUCUGCUGGUUUUGUAGAAGCGUGAUCAAAGAAGCAAUCUGAUCAGCAUUGAUAGAAGUUGAUGCAUGAGUUGCAUUUGCUCGACCGCGUCCGCCACGGCCUCUGUUUGAGUUGGAACGUCCUCCACGUCCACCACGAGUACCCGAGGUAGAGUUGUUUUGUCUCUCAAGAUACCAUUCGGGAAACCCAUGUACUAGAAAGCACUCAGAAAUAUCAUGCCCUGGCCUGCCACAAUGUGUGCACGUACGAGCUGGAUCCCUAGAGCGCGAAGGUGUAGAGUUAUUGACCGACAACGACAGAUCCUUUGAGGUCUCGUUUUUAGCAGAGAAGCCUAAAGCAUCGGUUCGUUGUUCUGUAGAUCGAGUUGUGAUCAUGUUCUGCUCCUCACGAACUACUCUGGAGUAGACUAGGUUAAGAUCAGGUAAAGGAUCCUCGUCUGUGAUCCGUGACCUAAUAGACAUAAAGCGUGAGUCAUCUAGCCCGAAGAGGAACUUGUGAACUCGAGCAUCUUCUUUGUCUUUUUCAAUAUCAGCAGCCGCAGCACAGGUACACGUACGUAUGGUUUUGAGAUUCUGGAGUUCCUCCCAUAGUUUCGUGAGCCUGCCGUAGUAUUCCAGAACUGAUUGUCCAUCCUGCUUGCAGUUAGUAAUAGCAUCCUGGAGUUGAUGAACUCUAGUCCCAUUCUUGACAGAGAAACGCAGUCUCAAAGAUUCCCAUAGUUUAUGAGCAUCCGGUACGUGUGCCACCGUCGAACGAACUUUUGAAUCAAUCGACGUACGAAUCCAUCCGACGAUCAUUGAAUUUGCUGCCAGCCACCGUGCUAAAUCAGGACUAUCCUCCGAUGGUUUUGAUAUUGUUCCAUCAAUAAAGCCAAGUUUCUGCUUAGCUUGUAAAGAAUUCCGAAGCUCUGUCGACCACUCCUGGUAAUUUUCAUGAGUGAGAAGAACAGAUGUGAUAAGAACCCCGGGGUUAUAGGAUGGAUGGAGGUGAUAAGGAGAUAGCUCCGGAGGAACGCCUGUAGUUGCGGAAGUAGGAGUAGUAGUAAUAGACAUCUAGAACGAUGAAUUUAGAAGUAGAAGAAGAAUUAGAUCAAACGUUGAUGAGUUUGAUUUAGAAGAAAUUUUGGUAAGAUCUUAGCUCUGAUACCAUAUAAUGAAUAUAAUGUAGAAUUGUGUGUCCUUUAUUCAUUCACCAAGAGGUGUUUAUAUACAACAUCUUUAGCAUAACCUAGCUAGGAAAAGGAAAUACAUAGAUCGUCUAAAUCCCAACAAUAUAGGAAACUUUAUAUUUAUCCUAAUCCCAAUAC
This 4900-nucleotide long non-coding RNA is filed under the name Brassica rapa (field mustard). RNAcentral describes it as "long non-coding RNA (BRAP_LNC005801)". The record is from RNAcentral. Lineage: Eukaryota; Viridiplantae; Streptophyta; Magnoliopsida; Brassicales; Brassicaceae.